UAAGGAAUAUUGGGCAAUGGGCGCAAGCCUGACCCAGCCAUGCCGCGUGCAGGAUGACGACCCUAUGGGUUGUAAACUGCUUUUAUAUAGGAAGAAAAUACUCUUGCGAGAGGAUCUGACGGUACUAUAUGAAUAAGGACCGGCUAACUCCGUGCCAGCAGCCGCGGUAAUACGGAGGGUUCAAGCGUUUUCCGGAUUUAUUGGGUUUAAAGGGUGCGUAGGUGGUUUAUUAAGUCAGUGGUGAAAUCCUGCAGCUCAACUGUAGAACUGCCAUUGAUACUGGUAAACUUGAGUUUGGUUUAGGUAAGCGGAAUUUAUGAUGUAGCGGUGAAAUGCAUAGAUAUCAUAAGGAACACCAAUAGCGAAGGCAGCUUACUGGACCAUAACUGACACUGAGGCACGAAAGCGUGGGUAGCGAACAGG
This 423-nucleotide ribosomal RNA is filed under the name uncultured bacterium. RNAcentral's name for it is "bacterial SSU rRNA". It matches the Rfam family "Bacterial small subunit ribosomal RNA", at positions 355 to 776 of the family's 1533-position model. The record is from RNAcentral.